Molecule: transfer RNA, 73 nt
Filed under: Planctomycetaceae bacterium
Lineage: Bacteria; Pseudomonadati; Planctomycetota; Planctomycetia; Planctomycetales; Planctomycetaceae
Description: tRNA-Lys
Rfam family: tRNA
About the family: Transfer RNA (tRNA) molecules are approximately 80 nucleotides in length. Their secondary structure includes four short double-helical elements and three loops (D, anti-codon, and T loops).
Source: RNAcentral
GAGAUCGUAGCUCAGUUGGUAGAGCAACGGACUUUUAAUCCGUAGGUCAUGGGUUCGAACCCCAUCGAUCUCA